RNAcentral lists this ribosomal RNA (494 nucleotides) under uncultured bacterium. RNAcentral's name for it is "partial 16S ribosomal RNA". It matches the Rfam family "Bacterial small subunit ribosomal RNA", at positions 28 to 507 of the family's 1533-position model. The record is from RNAcentral.
GACGAACGCUGGCGGCGCGCUUAACACAUGCAAGUCGAACGGAAAGGCCUGCUUUUCCUUGUGGUUUGCGGGUCCUCGAGUGGCUAACGGGUGCGUAACUCGUGAGUCAUCUGGCCUCAACUUACGUCUAAACCCGGGAGACUGUGUCUAAUUACCUAUAGAACUGCAUGGUUGUGCCUGUGGUGACAAACUUGCUUCUAGUGGUUGAGGAUUGGCCCGCGGCUUAUCAGUUUGUUGGUGUGGUAAUUUCCUACCAAGGCGGCGACGGGGAGCCGUGCGGGGAGGGUGGACGGCAACAUUGGGACUGAGAUACGGCCCAGACUGGUACGGGAGGGAGGGGUGGGGAAUAUAGCAGAAGGGGCGGAAGCCUGAUGCAGCGACGCCGCGUGGGGGAUGACGGGGUUCGGGUUGUAAACUCCUUUCGAACGAGAGGAAGCGAAAUGGAUGGAAGGGUGGUGACGGUAGUGGUAGAAGAAGCACCGGCUAACUACGUG